RNAcentral lists this long non-coding RNA (1866 nucleotides) under Homo sapiens (human). Its description in RNAcentral is "HSALNT0101506". The record is from RNAcentral. Lineage: Eukaryota; Metazoa; Chordata; Mammalia; Primates; Hominidae.
GCAGAGACUUGCUUCUGAAAGGAUGGUCGCUGAGGCCGUUUCUUCAUGAGUUUUAGUAUUCUAGUCUAGUGAGACACACAGGGAGACGAGCAAACAAGACUUCAGUGUGAGCCCAUCGAUUGCUGAAGGGACCCUCGUCUGGCAACAUCAUUCCUGCAUUUUGAGGUCAGCAGUUCUCAGGAAGCUAGGCUGGCUCAGUGCUUGGGAUCUGCAGUGGAAGCUGACGCUCCCCACCAAUCAUCCAGUGAGCACAGGCAAUUCUAUCUUCCCACUGCUCUAAUGAUAAUGCAUUCCUUCCCUUUGAAACACUUAAUUUUCAGAUUUUGAUAACUUCUGCCCACCUUAACUCCUAUCAAUCAGACUUUAUGUAACAGCACUGUGUUUGGUUCCUGAAAUGAAAUAUAUUCUUCAGAACAGCUAUAAGUGGAACAGGCUCAGAAAGAAGAGUGGAUGUCAAAUACUGUUUGUCAUAUCCUAGUAAGAAGUAGACUUUCAUAUGUAACACAUGAUCCCAGUGUAGCUUGAUAUAAAUGGAAGAUUUAAGUGAAAGAGGUCUAUAAUUUUGUUGGCAAAAUAAAGAGAAAUUUCCCUUAUGCUAAGACCAAGUAGCCAAAAGUAUCUCUGAAAAUGGUAGACCUAAUUCAAUGAAAAUCCCUCUGAAAUUCUACCAGAGCUUUCGUGAUUGUGUUAGUGAAACUCAUCAGGUAAGGCUGGAGCUAUGAGGAUUCUCAUCAUUAACUUAAUGGGGUUUGAGACUCAGAUGCUUGAAAAUGUGUAAGGUGGUUUGCUGAUUUAAUGUGAAACCGGAACUGUUGCCACCAGCCGCUCCUACCCACCCCAUGUCCUGCCAUUCCCAUUGUAAGACAUGUGUUAAUGAGAACUGAAUAUCAUGUGAUGGCAUCAUUGGAUCAGUUUGGGAGCCAUUAUCAUACCACCCAUGUGUGCUUGCUUUUGCCGUUAUGUAUUUUCUGGUGAGCAGUUGGAGUUCUUCCUUCAGUUACGAAGUGUGAGUUAAUAGAUGACACUCUAUCCUAGACACUAGGUGGCGGCAGACUGCUGAGAUAAACCAUUACCCAAGGGACCGAGAGGCUCAAACCUGUUCCCCAAUACUCAAAAGGCAGAUGAAAAUGGCAGGUGGAUAAAACUGAAUGGUAUGAAACAACACACGCAAGAUUGCAAAUUUUCAAAGGCAUGAAUCACUAUUGCAUCCCCCAAAAUCGUGUGAAGCUGCUUAAAGCUAACUUUACUUUCUUUAAAACGUCCUGGAGCAGUUAUCACCCAAUGGCCCUAAUACCGUAUCCAGUUUUGUUACAUCUCUGAAGUCAAAGGUAGACACCCAGAUAUCAUAGCUUCUCUCAUUUAUCAUGAAGGGUUAACUCUAAAUCUGUAUUUUCAACCAAUCUCUUUUUUUUGUUUUAAACAUGUUUAUAGUUGUUUUAAGUGGUAAUAUUUAAGUUCAAAUAAUUAAUAGCAAUAUUUAUUAAUACUAUCAGCCCAAUGCUUGAGUAAAAAUGCUGAAAAAAGUAUAAGAUGUUCAACUGUGUGCAAAGCACCACUGAAUGUUUUCUAAGAAUAUUAAUUUCUUAUGAAAGACUAAUAAUAGAUUGUCAAUAUAGUUUUAAAUAUUAAAUAUAGAACCAAAUAAGAUUUGACAAUGAGAAUUUAAAGACCAUCAUACUGUAUUGGUGCACAUGACAUUCUAAUUUUCAGUUUUUUUCCUAUAAAUGUUUCCUGUAAUAUGUCUUUGUGAAUUGUUUUUUCCACUCAGUUUUAACUCCUAAUCAGACCCAGCCCCACCUUGGAGAAGUCAACAUCUUUAAGAUGUGGAACAUUUUAAGAUUUAUUUAAACUGAUGACCAGCUAAAG